RNA transcript from Molossus molossus (Pallas's mastiff bat), 3036 nucleotides. It is a transcript of the gene named serine and arginine rich splicing factor 10, with no coding region annotated. Lineage: Eukaryota; Metazoa; Chordata; Mammalia; Chiroptera; Molossidae. The transcript is spliced from 8 exons. The record is from RefSeq and is a predicted model, not a curated record.
GCCGUAGCGGAGCCUUCUAGCAGUGUGUGUCCGAGGAUUCGCCGCUGGAGCCGCAGACGGUUUGGUGAGCCCGUUAGUGCCCCUGCCAAGACUCACGCAGCUGACAUGUCCCGCUACUUGCGUCCCCCCAACACGUCUCUAUUCGUAAGGAACGUGGCCGACGAUACCAGGUCUGAAGAUUUACGACGUGAAUUUGGUCGUUAUGGUCCUAUAGUUGAUGUGUAUGUUCCACUUGAUUUCUACACUCGCCGUCCAAGAGGAUUUGCUUAUGUUCAAUUUGAAGAUGUUCGUGAUGCGGAAGAUGCUUUACAUAAUUUGGACAGAAAAUGGAUUUGUGGUCGCCAAAUUGAAAUACAGUUUGCACAGGGGGAUCGGAAAACUCCAAAUCAGAUGAAAGCCAAGGAGGGGAGAAAUGUGUACAGUUCUUCACGCUAUGAUGAUUAUGACAGAUAUAGACGUUCUAGAAGCCGAAGUUAUGAAAGAAGGAGAUCAAGAAGUCGCUCCUUUGAUUACAACUAUAGAAGAUCUUAUAGUCCUAGAAACAGUAGACCGACUGGAAGACCACGGCGUAGCAGAAGCCAUUCCGACAAUGAUAGAUUCAAACACCGAAAUCGAUCUUUUUCAAGAUCUAAAUCCAAUUCAAGAUCACGGUCCAAGUCCCAGCCCAAGAAAGAAAUGAAGGCUAAAUCACGUUCUAGAUUUUCCUGGAUGUAUAGUUUAAACAACAAAAAGUCUAUUUAAAACUGUAGCAGUAGUUUGCAGUUCUAGCAAAGAGGAAAGUUGUGGGGUUAAACUGUAUUUUCUUUCUUAUAGAAGCUUCUAAAAAGACCAAACUGCAGCUGGAAUACCCAGUACAGUUCUGCUUACUACACUUCAAGAAAGAUCUGAGAAAGCGGAAAAAGAACCAAAGAAGGGCAGUUCAAGCGACCAAAGGGUGGGUGGAAGGUGCUGCAGUAUGAAUACUGUGUGAAUAUUUUGACUCUGGUCUGAAAAGAUAAAAGAAUGUUAUUGAAACUACAUGGAAUAAUUGAAGUCCCUUCAAGUUUGAAAGUAAGCAUUUUAGGACAAAUAAAAGGAAAUUCAGCUUUGUACUUGUGGAAACUAAUCCCUAAAUCUGAAUAGGUUUAUAUUGAUUCAUGGAUAACAGGUCCAUAAUAAAUUACUGGAAACUAGGAUGUCUGAAUAUCAAGGAAGACAGCCAUAGUCUCUUAACAGUGCCUCUACUGGUCUGUCAGAAACUGAAUUGGGUGAGAAAAGGCAUGGUCCAAUAUAAACUUUUUCUUGGUUGUCUCUUAAAAUCAGUUACAUUUUUGCUAUUGGCAAAUACUGCCUUUGUUUAUUCCAGUGCCAGUGUUUGACUGCUUAAUGGUUUGCUUGUUGGCAUCUGAGUUUAUUUACCUGUAUGCCAUGUGCAGUUUACAUCCUCCUCACUCUCUCCCAGGUAAAUUCCAAUUAUAAUACUUGACAUCCAGCUAAGAGGUUCCAUCUCUUCUCACCUCUUUCCUAGUCAGUAUAUUCAGCAAACAUUUACUGAGCCCUUACUGUGAGCAAAAAUUGUACUGGGUAAUUGGGAGGAAAAAUAGAUUUUAAAAAUCACUUAUUCAAUAAAUGUCUACUGAGCACAAUCUAGUAAAUAACAUUACAGUAUGGCCUCAUUGUUUUGAGGUGUAUUGUUUGUGACAAUAUUUUACACCAUUCAUAUCCUAAUGUAAUUAUAAAACCCAAUAUACUAUCAAAGAUAAGUAAUUUUGUGGUUACCUGCCAUUUAAAAGUAUCUGGUAUUUAUUUCUGUUUGCAUCCCAUUAAUACAAAUAAUGAAAAGAUGAUGUUUUAAUCUGUAAUAAACUGAUUUAUUGUGCAGUGACUGUAAUAUACUAGAAUUAUAUUAAAUUGUUAACUCUGCCUCCUCAAACACACAUUAGGAAAUAAUCCCCCAAAAGUAUUUAAUUUUGCAUUAGAUAUAAAGGACACUGGGUGCUAUACUUAGAUUAUUUUGAGGCAGACAGAGAGCUGUUAUCCCAACUGAUUUAGUAUGUUCUGUAACUGAGAAAAUGUUCACCAAGUUAUACUUUUUAGUGAUUGACAUGUACAUUUUAUAGGGACAUGUUCUGUGUAUAGUGAAUAAAUAACUUUUAUAGUAUCAAAAUGUUUUGGAUUCCUUAGUUCCUUACUAGGAUAUGAAGCUUAUUUGCCUAUAUAUUGAUUCCAUCACUCAUUUUUUUGUCAUAUUUCUGCCACAUAUUUAAAUUUAACAAAAUUAUUCUUCUGAGAAUAUGGAAGUGUUUGAGCCUUUCAUUUGUAAAGACUUCAAAAAAUAUAGCAGAGUACACAUAACUAAGGGAGGUAUGAAAUAGGGGUCAUUUUUAUCCUUGUUUUAUUAAUUUCAAACUUGGCCAAGAUUACACAGCAAGUGGCAGAUUAACUAGAGUCGAGUCCAUGAAUUUUUCAUUUUAAUUCAUCUUAGUCACUGUUUUGCACUGAACUUUUUUUUAAUCAGAUAGGAAAUUUUUUUAUAACUUAAAAUUAAUAUAAUGGAAUCUGGAGAUCACUAAAAGGGAAGAUUUAAUAGAUGUGUAAGAUAGGUUUAAUUACAAAAAGUAUUCUGUAACUCUUUUGGAUGAAAGAGGUUAAACAUAACUUAAGAUCUCACAGCUGUUGUGACUUACACUCUCUCCAGGCUGGUUUUUCAUAUUACAGUAUUGUAUUGCAUUUUGAUCAUAUUCCCAUUUACAAAAUCCUUUCCCAUGAAAUAAGGGAAGCUGUGACUUGAGACAGAAUGGUAGCUCAGGAAUAAUCUAAUAGUGUUCUACCAGGAAGGUUGUCAAAGCCUUUAGGAGUCCCCAGAAUAAACUUCUCAUUAAUAAAUGAAGUAAAAGCAUCCUAUUUGUCUUCAUUCAACUGUUGGCAUCUACAAGACAAACUGGUUGCUAUGGAAAGGUUCUUUCUCGGGGUUUUUAUCCUCUGCCCCCUCCAAAACUGUUAAUGUUUAGUGCUUUACAUUUAUGUAUCCUAACCUUUGUUUCACCCUUACAUUAA